CCCCUCUCAGGAUUACAUCUGGAGAGUUUCCAGAACUCUGCCAGUCCCAGCUAUGUUAAGGAUAGUCAAGCAGAGGCAUACCCAUUCCAUUACUAGUUUGGGUAGUGGCUAGAGAGUGGAAGGCAAUCUGCUACAAGC
Molecule: small nucleolar RNA, 138 nt
Organism: Tachyglossus aculeatus (Australian echidna)
Lineage: Eukaryota; Metazoa; Chordata; Mammalia; Monotremata; Tachyglossidae
Source: RefSeq, a predicted model, not a curated record